RNAcentral lists this ribosomal RNA (874 nucleotides) under Thysanostoma flagellatum. RNAcentral's name for it is "partial large subunit ribosomal RNA". It matches the Rfam family "Eukaryotic large subunit ribosomal RNA", at positions 139 to 810 of the family's 3401-position model. The record is from RNAcentral. Lineage: Eukaryota; Metazoa; Cnidaria; Scyphozoa; Rhizostomeae; Thysanostomatidae.
GCGACUGUAGUCUCGAGAGCGUUUUCCCGGCGGAUCCUCCCUGCCUAAGUAGCUUGGAACAGCUCAUCAGAGAGGGUGACAAUCCCGUUCGCGGCAGGGCGGGCCGUCCACGAUACGCUUUCCACGAGUCGGGUUGCUUGGGAAUGCAGCCCAAAAUUGGUGGUAAACUCCAUCUAAAGCUAAAUAUUGGCACGAGACCGAUAGCGAACAAGUACCGUGAGGGAAAGAUGAAAAGAACUUUGAAAAGAGAGUUAAAAAGUGCGUGAAACCGUUAGAGGGGAAACGGAUGCAGUUAGCAACGCCCCCGCGAGAUUCAGGUGGACCUGUCUGGCGAGCUGUGCAAUUGGUGGAUCUGAAUGGACCGUCGUUGCAUCGCCUCGUCUCUCGUCCGCCGCACUUCUCGCGAGGGUGCGUCAACAGCUGCUGGCACAUCGGUCUACACGGCACCUGCGGAAGGUAGGCGUCCGGCUCUGGCCGGGUGUUGUUAUAGCCGCUAGUGUCCCAGUCCGUCGCCGGCAGAGGUGAGCGGUGCAUGCUCGCUCGUUCGCGCGCGUGGGCUGGCGUCCUGUGGCGUUCUUCGAGUCCUCCGGGGUGCACUGCGUGCAGUGCAUCACUCAGGGUGAGGAGGCGUGCAGUCAACGCACACAAUGCACCAUGGUUGUUGGCGGCCAUAUGGCUUUAUCCGACCCGUCUUGAAACACGGACCAAGGAGUCUAACAUGUGCGCGAGUCCUGGGGUGACCGAAACCCAGAGGCACAAUGAAAGUGAAGGCUGACUCGCUUCAGCCGAGGUGAGAUCCCUCGUCCCACGGGGCAGGCGCAUCAUCGACCGACCUGUCUACUCUUAGAAAGGUUUGAGUAUGAGCGUACAUGCU